Molecule: ribosomal RNA, 432 nt
Filed under: uncultured bacterium
Lineage: Bacteria
Description: partial 16S ribosomal RNA
Rfam family: Bacterial small subunit ribosomal RNA
Source: RNAcentral
AACGAACGCUGGCGGCAUGCCUAACACAUGCAAGUCGAACGAUACCUCCGGGUCUAGUGGCGCCCGGGUGCGUAAGGCGUGGGAACCUGCCCUUAAGUUUGGAAUAACUCUCCGAAAGGGGUGCUAAUCCGGGACAAUGUCUUCGGACGAAAGAUUUCUCGCCUUUGGAUGGGCCCGCGUUGUAUUAGCUGGUUGUUAGGGUAAAAGCCUACCAAGGCGACGAUCCAUAGCUGGGCGGCGAGGACGAUCAGCCACCCUGGGACUGGGACACGGCCCAAAGUGCGACGGAAGGCAGCAAUGGUGAACAUUGGACGAUGGGCGAAAGCCUGAGCCAGCAGUGCCGCAUAACUGAUGAAGGCCUGAAGAUCGUAUAGCUCUGUUACCCGGGAUGAUAAGACGAUAACCGAGAAAAAAGGCUCGGCCAACCACGGG